GGGGGCCCGCAAGCGGUGGAGCAUGCGGUUUAAUUCGAUGCAACGCGAAGAACCUUACCUACUCUUGACAUCCAGAGAACUUAGCAGAGAUGCUUUGGUGCCUUCGGGAACUCUGAGACAGGUGCUGCAUGGCUGUCGUCAGCUCGUGUUGUGAAAUGUUGGGUUAAGUCCCGCAACGAGCGCAACCCUUAUCCUUUGUUGCCAUCGGUUCGGCCGGGAACUCAAAGGAGACUGCCAGUGAUAAACUGGAGGAAGGUGGGAAUGACGUCAAGUCAUCAUGGCCCUUACGAGUAGGGCUACACACGUGCUACAAUGGCGUAUACAAAGAGAAGCGACCUCGCGAGAGCAAGCGGACCUCAUAAAGUACGUCGUAGUCCGGAUUGGAGUCUGCAACUCGACUCCAUGAAGUCGGAAUCGCUAGUAAUCGUAGAUCAGAAUGCUACGGUGAAUACGUUCCCGGGCCUUGUACACACC
This 474-nucleotide ribosomal RNA is filed under the name uncultured bacterium. RNAcentral's name for it is "bacterial SSU rRNA". It matches the Rfam family "Bacterial small subunit ribosomal RNA", at positions 915 to 1391 of the family's 1533-position model. The record is from RNAcentral.